Molecule: ribosomal RNA, 253 nt
Filed under: uncultured bacterium
Lineage: Bacteria
Description: partial 16S ribosomal RNA
Rfam family: Bacterial small subunit ribosomal RNA
Source: RNAcentral
UACGUAGGUGGCAAGCGUUGUCCGGAUUUACUGGGCGUAAAGGAUGCGUAGGCGGACAUUUAAGUCAGAUGUGAAAUACCCGAGCUUAACUUGGGUGCUGCAUUUGAAACUGGGUGUCUAGAGUGCAGGGGAGGUAAGUGGAAUUCCUAGUGUAGCAGUGAAAUGCGUAGAUAUUGCUAAGAACACCAAUGGCGAAGGCAGCUUGCUGGGCCACUCCUGACACUGAGGUACGAAAGCGUGGGGAGCGAACAGG